RNAcentral lists this small RNA (284 nucleotides) under human gut metagenome. RNAcentral describes it as "5' ureB small RNA". It matches the Rfam family "5' ureB small RNA". The record is from RNAcentral.
AUCUGGGUGGGGCUGAUAAAAUGGAUAUGGGUAUCAAUACCGCCUGCGGUAAGGAUAAGUCCCUCACCUGCUAUCGCCUCGGUAGAAGCUCCGAAAACCAGCGAUGGUGUCACUCCGUCCAUAAUAUCGGGAUUUCCCGCCUUGCCUAUGCCGCAUAUCUUUCCGUCCUUUAUGCCGAUAUCGGCUUUGUAGAUGCCCGUGUAAUCAAUGACCACAACGCUUGUGAUAACGGUAUCGGGGCAUUCGCUGUCGGGUACGGAGCAGGACUGUCCCAUGCCGUCACG